ACAAAAGGGAAAAAGGCGUGGCGGGCGCAAGCUCGUUUCACGUUCUGCUCCCGAAAUCCUGUAUUCACCCCAAGUUCCUUUAAAAUUUCAAUAAAAAACUCUGCAAAAGACCACUUUUUAAAGUGGCAUCUAAUUGCACAUAGCGA
RNAcentral lists this unclassified non-coding RNA (146 nucleotides) under soil metagenome. Its description in RNAcentral is "partial internal transcribed spacer 1". The record is from RNAcentral.